RNAcentral lists this ribosomal RNA (520 nucleotides) under uncultured bacterium. RNAcentral describes it as "bacterial SSU rRNA". It matches the Rfam family "Archaeal small subunit ribosomal RNA", at positions 345 to 866 of the family's 1478-position model. The record is from RNAcentral.
AACCUCCGCAAUGUGAGAAAUCGCGACGGGGGGAUCCCAAGUGCCAUUCUUAACGGGAUGGCUUUUCUUAAGUGUAAAAAGCUUUUGGAAUAAGAGCUGGGCAAGACCGGUGCCAGCCGCCGCGGUAACACCGGCAGCUCUAGUGGUAGCUGUUUUUAUUGGGCCUAAAGCGUUCGUAGCCGGUUUGAUAAGUCACUGGUGAAAUCCUGUAGCUUAACUGUGGGAAUUGCUGGUGAUACUGUUGAACUUGAGGUCGGGAGAGGUUAGCGGUACUCCCAGGGUAGAGGUGAAAUUCUGUAAUCCUGGGAGGACCACCUGUGGCGAAGGCGGCUAACUGGAACGAACCUGACGGUGAGGGACGAAAGCUAGGGGCGCGAACCGGAUUAGAUACCCGGGUAGUCCUAGCCGUAAACGAUGCGGACUUGGUGUUGGGAUGGCUUUGAGCCGCUCCGGUGCCGAAGGAAGCUGUUAAGUCCGCCGCCUGGGAAGUACGGUCGCAAGACUGAAACUUAAAGGAAUU